GAUGGUCAACCUUCCCACACCUGAGAAUAAAUUCUGGCUCCACAAAAGCAAGGAAUGAAGACUGUAUCCCCAAAGGACUACCUGACAUUUGCAUACCCUAAAAGCAGAAAUUUUGCACUUUGCAACCUAACAUGCACUAUUUUGGAAGUGACAGCAGUGAUAUGACUAUAAUUUCUACCAGGAGGCUCACAGUUCAUACCCCUUGGAAGCUCACUAGAGUUAGAGGGCUCACAUCCUGGAAAAUAGAGGUUUGCAGAGCAACUUUAUCAAGAGUAACAUUAUCAAGAGCUUUCCUGCAAGCUUCUUUAUCAUAUUCACAUCCGUGUCUGCUCGACACUUGUCACUGUCAAUCAAAUCGCAAUAAUACGCAGAUGAUUUGCUCAUUUGGUUUAAUAAAAUCUCUCUGCUUAUUUGCACUGCAGUCAUUAUGCCACAUAAUUGCUCCGCCGCCGAGGUGA
RNAcentral lists this long non-coding RNA (458 nucleotides) under Cyanistes caeruleus (blue tit). RNAcentral describes it as "lncRNA (ENSCCEG00000015278.1)". The record is from RNAcentral. Lineage: Eukaryota; Metazoa; Chordata; Aves; Passeriformes; Paridae.